AUGGAGAGAGGGACUACGGGCUCCUCCGGCGUACCUGACGAUACGUCGUCUAGCCAUGUCAUCAAAGUGUCGCCCCGUGAAGUGCUCUGCGUGGGAGCCGUGUGCUGGGCGGUGUGGAGGUACUUCCGGUACAUCACAUGCCUGCACACCUACGGCCGGGACAUGACGGCCAUGGCCGGCAAGGCCGAUCCGGUGAUCGGGCGUGACGACGAGAUUGAUCGCGUCAUCCGCAUCCUCUGUCGCCGGACCAAGAACUGCGCCGCGCUUGUCGGCGCCGCCGGGGUCGGCAAGACGGCCAUCGCCGAGGGCCUCGCGCAGCGCAUCGUCGCCGGGAAGGUCCCGUCCAAGCUCGCCGGAGCGCGUGUCAUUGAGCUCAACCUCAUGGCGAUGGUGUCUGGUACGAUGUAUGUUGGCAUGUCCGAGGAGCGCAUGACGGACUUUCUCAAGAAGGUGGCGGCUGCACGCGGCAAGGUGAUCCUGUUCGUCGACGAGAUGCACAUGCUUCUCGGCGCCGGAGCGGCCACGGGCACCCACAUGGACGCGGCCAACAUGCUGAAGCCAGCAUUGGCUCGCGGCCAUAUAAGAUGUCUGGGCGCCACUACUGACGAUGAGUACUCCAUGUAUAUCGAGAAGGAUCCUGCACUCGAGCGGCGGUUCCAAAAGGUGCACGUUGAGGAGCCGAGCACGCAUUCCACCAUUGCCAUCCUCCAGGGGCUUAAACCCCGGUACCAGAAGCAUUAUGGCUUGGAAAUUCUUGAUGCUACCAUUGACGCUGCCGUACACCUCGCUGACCGCUAUAUCGCAGGUCGUCGGUUUCCUGAUAAGGCAAUUGAUCUCAUUGACGAGGCCUGCACGACAUUAGAGCUAGGAGGAGAAAAUACAGUUGUUGCGCCGAAUCAUGUUGCACAGGUUGUGAGCGGAUGGACUGGAAUUCCUAUAGCUACGCUUAAUCAAGAGGAGAGUGUCAAAUUAAUUCACUUAGCCGACAGAUUGCAUGAGAGAAUAGUUGGGCAGGAUGAGGCCGUCAAUUUAGUUGCAGAAGCAGUGUUGCGUUCCAGGAUUGGCCUUCACCAAGCUGGUCAGCCGAUAGGCUCCUUCCUCUUUUUGGGCACGACGGGUGUUGGAAAAACUGAACUUGCGAAAGCUCUUGCAGAACAACUAUUUGGUAGUGAGAAGAUGAUGCUUCGCUUUGAUAUGUCUGAGUAUGUUAGUCCCGAAUCCGUGCUACGUCUCGUUGGAGCACCCCCAAGCUAUCAUGGUUAUGAAAAUGGUGGACAACUGACCGAGAAAGUUAGGAGGCGCCCAUACAGUGUUGUCCUUUUUGAUGAGGUGGAGAAGGCAUAUCCGUCAGUGUUGAAUGUUUUUCUUCAGCUCCUUGACGAUGGUGUGUUGACUGAUGGUAAAGGGCAUAAUGUGGAUUUCAAGAAUACAAUUAUCAUUAUGACUUCGAAUGUUGGGGCAGAGCACCUAAAUGUAGGAGUGGUUGGAGAAAAGACAACGGUUGCUUCGCGAAAUCUUCUCAUGAAACAGGUUCAAAAAUGCUUCAAGCCCGAAUUUAUCAACAGAUUAAGCGAGAUUGUAGUAUUUGAGCCGCUUUCACACCGUCAACUGAAAGAGAUAGUGAAUAUCCAAAUGAAGAGUGCCUUUGCUAGAGUAGCCGGCAAGGGCAUAUCUCUUGUUCUAAGUGAUGCUGCGUUGGAUGUCAUUUUGUCAGAAUCACACAACCCAUUGUAUGGUGCAAGGCCCAUAAAAAGGUGGAUAGAGAAGAACAUAAUGACAACUAUCUCCAAGAUGCUGGUCAAUGGAGAAGCUGUUGAAGGAUCAACAAUCUCCAUUGACUCUACCAGUGACAAGAAAGGCUUGAAAUACCAAUUGGCAAAGAAAAAUGCGACGGAUCCGUGA
RNAcentral lists this ribosomal RNA (1902 nucleotides) under Triticum aestivum (bread wheat). Its description in RNAcentral is "partial small subunit ribosomal RNA". The record is from RNAcentral. Lineage: Eukaryota; Viridiplantae; Streptophyta; Magnoliopsida; Poales; Poaceae.